GACGAACGCUGGCGGCGUGCUUAACACAUGCAAGUCGAACGGAAAGGCCCUGCUUUUGUGGGGUGCUCGAGUGGCGAACGGGUGAGUAACACGUGAGUAACCUGCCCUUGACUUUGGGAUAACUUCAGGAAACUGGGGCUAAUACCGGAUAGGAGCUCCUGCUGCAUGGUGGGGGUUGGAAAGUUUCGGCGGUUGGGGAUGGACUCGCGGCUUAUCAGCUUGUUGGUGGGGUAGUGGCUUACCAAGGCUUUGACGGGUAGCCGGCCUGGGAGGGUGACCGGCCACAUUGGGACUGAGAUACGGCCCAGACUCCUACGGGAGGCAGCAGUGGGGAAUAUUGCACAAUGGGCGGAAGCCGGAUGCAGCAACGCCGCGUGCGGGAUGACGGCCUUCGGGUUGUAAACCGCUUUCGCUUGUGACGAAGCGUGAGUGACGGUAAUGGGUAAAGAAGCACCGGCUAACUACGU
RNAcentral lists this ribosomal RNA (467 nucleotides) under uncultured bacterium. RNAcentral's name for it is "partial 16S ribosomal RNA". It matches the Rfam family "Bacterial small subunit ribosomal RNA", at positions 28 to 506 of the family's 1533-position model. The record is from RNAcentral.